RNAcentral lists this long non-coding RNA (394 nucleotides) under Capra hircus (goat). RNAcentral describes it as "lncRNA (ENSCHIG00000008053.1)". The record is from RNAcentral. Lineage: Eukaryota; Metazoa; Chordata; Mammalia; Artiodactyla; Bovidae.
CUUUUCUACCUUUCAGGCCUGGGCUGCAGAAAUGUCUGGAACUUUAAUGACCUUCUCUGUCCAUUAAGGGAUCUGAUAGACAUGACGUUUUAUAAGGCAACCAAGCAGAAGCCAAGUGAGGUACUGCACAAGGAGCCAGUGAGUAUCCUGUUCUUGUAUCCACGGCGUCUUGUGCUGCACCCAGAGCCCACAGCCUUACUAUUCCAUCCUCUUGGUAAGCAUGGGGGCACAGCAGUGCUUUCUGAGGCCAUGCAGCCUGUUUCCAAAGCGCUUUUUAUCCCUGGAUGUGUAGGAGACUCCAAAUACCUGUGGAAAGUGAUUAACGGUCUUUCCCGCCUUCCCCUGGCAUUUCCUAAUGCAAAAAAUCUUGGCUAGCAACCAAUUUAAUUUAGAC